CCCCAACAGACAAGCCGCUAAACACUGACCCCCUGACUCUAGGGACACUUACCGAGAGCCUUUAUUUGAGACGAGGGAUCCCAUGUUACCUGCCCACACACCCAACUCUGCCUAUCACGACCCACCGCAAGCAACAGGUCAAACACACAAUUUGCGGAACGUACAGACUAAAGGAAUAGCCCCCUGGGGAAGACCGAACUGUUUACAAAGCCGAACCAUGACACGCUAGAUAAUUGGAAAGUGGCCCGAGCCAAGACGUAACGUGACCGUACAGAUUGUUAGACUAGGAGACCUAGCUACUGACAUCAGAC
Molecule: non-coding RNA, 311 nt
Organism: Pelobates cultripes (western spadefoot toad)
Lineage: Eukaryota; Metazoa; Chordata; Amphibia; Anura; Pelobatidae
Source: the annotation of a GenBank genome assembly